AUCAACUUUCUGUGUGCUCUAAGCAACAGUACAGCAACGUGAGUGUCGUGUCUGAUUAGAUGAUGAUUGUGAAUCGUUAGAUCAAAAUUAAAGUUUACUUGAGACUGAGUGUUUCUUAGGACUUGCUUGUGUGUGCUUCGACUACUUUGUGAUGGUGAAGUAUUGCUUGUAAUAUGACUUCAUUGAUACCCUUGUCAUCCCCAGUAAAGCGAUUGCUCGGUUGGAAACGAGGUGAAGGUGAAGAAAAGUGGAGUGAAAAGGCAGUCAAGAGCCUUGUCAAAAAGCUUAAAAAAAGUGGUGGCCUCGAUGAACUUGAAAAAGCUGUAACUUCUCAAAGUUCCAGUACAAAGUGUAUUACUAUUCCAAGAUCGUUAGACGGCCGUCUUCAAGUAUCACAGCGUAAAGGGCUACCUCAUGUAAUUUAUUGCCGCUUGUGGAGGUGGCCAGAUCUUCAGACACACCACGAAUUGCACGCACUUGAAAACUGCGAGUACGCUUUCCAGCUCAAACGUGACGAAGUUUGUGUUAAUCCCUACCACUACCAAAGAGUUGAAACGCCAGUUUUACCGCCAAUCUUGGUUCCACGCCAAGCAGAAACUGGAGUAAACAGCGUCAACCUUUCAACAACAGGAGCCAAUAAUAAUCAUCAAAUCGUUAAUAGCACGGUUGCCACUAUUCAAGACCUGCUGUCACUGGAUGACCUGCCGCUGUCGAUAGCCGACGGUCCUGACUUCAUUAUGUCAACCGCCGGAGUGAACUCACCUAGUCCUGCAUCUAUUGGUAGUGGCGAUGGUGGUGGUGGAACUUUUCCCUUAACAGAAACUCCUCCGCCUGGUUACAUGUCGGAAGACGGCGACACUCAAGAGCCCGCAGAUAUGAUGAAUGGUAGUCGAGUUUCACCUAGCCCUCCUAUCGAUGCACAACCCGUUAUGUACUGCGAGCCGGCAUUCUGGUGUUCGAUAAGCUAUUAUGAGUUAAACACACGCGUGGGAGAAACUUUCCAUGCAUCUCAGCCAUCCAUUACCGUUGACGGUUUUACUGAUCCCAGUAAUUCGGAACGAUUUUGCCUGGGACUUUUAUCAAACGUAAACCGCAACCCUGUAGUGGAACAAACCCGACGACACAUUGGGAAAGGAGUCCGUCUCUAUUACAUUGGAGGCGAGGUCUUUGCCGAGUGUUUGAGCGAUUCGUCCAUUUUUGUUCAAUCCCCAAACUGCAAUCAGCGUUACGGUUGGCAUCCGGCAACCGUUUGUAAAAUCCCACCUGGAUGCAACUUAAAAAUAUUUAAUAAUCAAGAAUUUGCCGCACUUCUUUCCCAGUCGGUAAGCCAAGGCUUUGAGGCUGUUUACCAAUUAACAAGAAUGUGCACCAUACGGAUGAGCUUCGUCAAAGGAUGGGGCGCAGAGUAUAGACGCCAGACGGUAACGUCUACCCCAUGUUGGAUCGAACUUCAUUUAAAUGGCCCAUUGCAGUGGCUUGAUCGAGUUCUGACGCAAAUGGGAUCGCCUCGCCUUCCGUGCAGCUCCAUGUCAUGAUGAUGAAAUAACUUUUGAAGUGCAUACCCACCUUCCGGUUCGGCAGUAAAUCCUUCGUCGAGGGUACUUCGACGCCGAAUACUAGUUUUUUCCUGAUACGCUCACUGUCCGUUCAUUAUUCCACUCGGAUGUGCAAUAGUCGAUUCAGUCAGACGAACCAAUAUAGCCCGCUCUUCUGCUGCCGUACAUUACCCACCCUAAGCAUUUACCGUUUUUCCAUAGCCCAAACUACCUCGUAAGCUGCGUUCCGCGGAGCUCGUCGUAGUCCACAAGUUCACCAAAUAACUGGAAGCCACUCAGGUCGAUCAAAUAGUCGCCUUUCCGAUCACACCCUCAAGCCACGUCGUUCACUCCCGACAAAUGAUGUGACUCCACACCCCACCUCAAAAGUUUCUGCUCGAGCAUUCACCAAAUGCUGUAUCUACUUUCGUCCGUAUAUUUCCUUUACCCAUCGAGUGACAGAAAAGCAGCAAACCGGAGAAUUCAUUGUUGUACUGUUUAAAAAUUUCUUUCUGAGCUGAGCUGUUUUCAAGCGAAAGAGAUAUCUUUUCCUUAAGUGUUGAUUCUUGUCCUAAUUCUUAGGUUCUUCCAUGUGUUACGAAUUUCGACAGAAAUGCUGGUUAAUUCGAGAUCAAUUUAGAUACUAACAGCAGUGCAUUCGACGCGUUCAUAUUAUAGAAUACCCCCAGUUUUCUGUUGCUAGCGUUUCCUUUUCUAGGACUGUUAUUCUUUAUCGAGGCAUAAAAUACCUUUAAACUUAGAACAUGCAAAAUUCAGUUGUUUCAAAACUGAUGUGUAUACAUUAAUGGGAAUAAGAAUAAAGGUAAAAAAGAGUUA
Molecule: unclassified non-coding RNA, 2372 nt
Filed under: Daphnia magna
Lineage: Eukaryota; Metazoa; Arthropoda; Branchiopoda; Diplostraca; Daphniidae
Description: mothers against decapentaplegic homolog 3, transcript variant X1
Source: RNAcentral